UGAAUACGAGACGCUAAGGCGUCGAAGUAGUGUAUGUCAUACUUCCAAGAAAAGCUUGCACUGUCAUAGAUAAAAAACGCCUGUACCAUAACCGACACAGGUGGGUAGGUAGAGUAUACUAAGGUGCGCGAGAUAACUCUCUCUAAGGAACUCGGCAAAAUAACUCCGUAACUUCGGGAGAAGGAGUGCCUUAUUAUUAAGGCUGCAAUAACAAGAUCCAAGCAACUGUUUAUCAAAAACACAGGUCUCCGCUAAGUCGUAAGACGAUGUAUGGGGGCUGACGCCUGCCCAGUGCCAGAAGGUUAAAGAAGUUGGUUAGCAUUUGCGAAGCUGAUAACUGAAGCCCUGGUGAACGGCGGCCGUAACAAUAACGGUCCUAAGGUAGCGAAAUUCCUUGUCGGGUAAGUUCCGACCCGCACGAAAGGCGUAAUGAUUUGGAUACUGUCUCGGAGAGGGGCUCGGUGAAAUAGACUUGUCUGUGAAGAUGCGGACUACCUGCACCAGGACAGAAAGACCCUAUGAAGCUUUACUGUAACUUGAAAUUGAAAUUGGACUUUAUUCGCGCAGCAUAGGUGGGAGGCGUUGAUUAUAAUCUUGUGGGAUUAUUGGAGCCAUCAGUGAGAUACCACUCUUGUAAUGUUAGAUUUCUAACUUUGAAUCAUUAUCUGGUCAAAGAACAGUUUCAGGCGGGCAGUUUGACUGGGGCGGUCGCCUCCUAAACGGUAACGGAGGCGUACAAAGGUUUCCUCUGAACGGUUAGAAAUCGUAUCUAGAGUGUAAAGGCAUAAGGAAGCUUGACUGUGAGACCUACAAGUCGAGCAGGGACGAAAGUCGGUCUUAGUGAUCUGACGGUACUGAGUGGAAAGGCCGUCACUCAACGGAUAAAAGUUACUCUAGGAUAACAGGCUGAUCUCCCCCAAGAGUUCACAUCGACGGGGAGGUUUGGCACCUCGAUGUCGGCUCAUCGCAUCCUGGGGCGGUAGUACGUCCCAAGGGUUGGGCUGUUCGCCCAUGAAAGCGGUACGCGAGCUGGGUUCAGAACGCCGUGAGACAGUUCGGUCCAUAUCCGGUGUAGGCGUUAGAAUAUUGAGAGGAGCCUUCUUUAGUACGAGAGGACCGAGAAGGACAUACCUCUGGUGUACCAGUUAUCGUGCCAACGGUAAACGCUGGGUAGCUAUGUAUGGAGUGGAUAACCGCUGAAAGCAUCUAAGUGGGAAGCCCACCUCAAGAUAAGUAUUCUCAUCAU
This 1246-nucleotide ribosomal RNA is filed under the name metagenome. Its description in RNAcentral is "bacterial LSU rRNA". It matches the Rfam family "Bacterial large subunit ribosomal RNA", at positions 1564 to 2820 of the family's 2925-position model. The record is from RNAcentral.